This 318-nucleotide ribosomal RNA is filed under the name Staphylococcus aureus. Its description in RNAcentral is "bacterial LSU rRNA". It matches the Rfam family "Bacterial large subunit ribosomal RNA", at positions 1 to 317 of the family's 2925-position model. Lineage: Bacteria; Bacillati; Bacillota; Bacilli; Caryophanales; Staphylococcaceae. The record is from RNAcentral.
AGAUUAAGUUAUUAAGGGCGAACGGUGGAUGCCUUGGCACUAGAAGCCGAUGAAGGACGUUACUAACGACGAUAUGCUUUGGGGAGCUGUAAGUAAGCUUUGAUCCAGAGAUUUCCGAAUGGGGAAACCCAGCAUGAGUUAUGUCAUGUUAUCGAUAUGUGAAUACAUAGCAUAUCAGAAGGCACACCCGGAGAACUGAAACAUCUUAGUACCCGGAGGAAGAGAAAGAAAAUUCGAUUCCCUUAGUAGCGGCGAGCGAAACGGGAAGAGCCCAAACCAACAAGCUUGCUUGUUGGGGUUGUAGGACACUCUAUACGG